GACCUUGUGGCACAAUGGUAGUGCAUCUGACUCCAGAUCAGAAGGUUUGCGUGUUCAAAUCAUGUCAGGGUCA
Molecule: non-coding RNA, 73 nt
Organism: Piliocolobus tephrosceles (Ugandan red Colobus)
Lineage: Eukaryota; Metazoa; Chordata; Mammalia; Primates; Cercopithecidae
Source: the annotation of a RefSeq genome assembly